Molecule: long non-coding RNA, 2481 nt
Filed under: Pan troglodytes (chimpanzee)
Lineage: Eukaryota; Metazoa; Chordata; Mammalia; Primates; Hominidae
Description: lincRNA
Source: RNAcentral
GAGUAGCUGGGAUUACAGGCGCGCGCCACCACGCUCGGCUAAUUUUUGUAUUUGUUUAGUAGAGACGGGGGUUUCACCAUGUUGGCCAGGCUGGUCUCGAACGCCUGACCUCAGGCGAUGUACCCGCCUGGGCCUCCCAAAGUGCUGAGAUUACAGGCGUGAGACACCGCGCCCGGCCGGAAAGUGGCUAUUUUAAGAAGAUUGAGAACAUGUUUCGUUGGGUCGCAUUAUUCUGCGUGACGAGGCUCACAGAGGAGAACCCCACCCUUACUCCAAAGGCCUUUGAAAGCAGCUCUGGAAAGGGCAGGGUUUGCUUCUCCCUCUGCCCAACGUCUCCCCAGGCUGCCUGUGCCACCUUCCGGUCUCACCUCCUCGGAGUUGGGGUCAAACGCGGAGCUCCAGUUUCUCAGCCCCUCCUGGAGCUCAAUGAUGUCCACCACGCCGUCCCCAUUGCAAUCCAGGUCUUCGAAGAGGAUCCCGUAGCGUAAGUAGUCAUCGCCAUCCUGGCAGGCCACCGCCUCCAGCACGAAGCCCUGCAUCCAGAGCAGCAUGGCUGGGUCCAGAGGCUGCGGGGACCACUCGGCCACCCAGCCAGCACCGCGGCACUCGUCGCCGCCUCCUCGACGCCUGGCUGCGCAAAGCAGGGGGUCCCGGCCGUCCGCCAGCUUCUGCAACUGUCUAGCGGAGCCGCCGCAGUUCGGAGCCCACGCGGGCCAAGCCGCCCGCGCCUGCGGGCUCUUGGGCGCCACGGAGAGGCUGCGCCACCUUGUGGGACCUCUGGCCGAGGCGCCACGCGACAGUUGAGACGCCAGAUGUGAGUUGAGGUGCCAGACGUGAGUUGAGGUGCCAGACGUGGCGGCGUUGGGUACCCAGGACCCUCGGACGGGUCUGCUACGGCUUGCUGGGGGUCCACUCCAGACCCUGUUUGCCUGGGUAUCACCAGUGGAGUUUGCAGAACAGCGAAGAUUGCUGCUUGCUCCUUCCUCCAGAAGCUUCUUCCCACAGUGGCAUCAACCUGAUUGAUGUCAGCCGGAACUCUCCUGCAUGAGGUGUCUGGCGACCCCUGAUGGGAAGUCUCAGCCAGUCAAGAAGCACGGGAUUGGAAGGGGGACCUCCUUAUGGAGGCAGACUGACUGUCCCUUAGCAGAGCUGGUGCACUGUACUGGAGGAAUAACCCUCCUUGGGAUCAGCUGGUCUCUUCAGAGCCAGCAGGCAGGAAAGAUUAAGUCUGCUGAACCUCGGACCAUGGCCGCCGCUCCCCCGAGGUGCUCUGUCCCAGGGAGAUAAGAGUUCUGUCUGUAAGCCCCUGACUGUAGCUACUGGAAUUCCUGCAGGGAUGCCCUCCCGGUGAGGAGGGAUGGCUUCGGGUCCCACCUAGGAAGCAGUCUGGCCACGAUCUGCAACAGCCACUUUGCUGCGUUGUGGGGAAUUCCACCCAGUCCAAACCUCCUCGUCUCCUUAGCACUGUCAGGGGAAAACCUCCAACUAAAGCCUCAGUAAUGACGGUCGCCCCUCCCCCUGGGAACUGAGUUGUCCCAGGCGGACUCCAGACUGCUGUGCCGGCAGCGGGGAUUUCAAGCCAGUGGGUCUUAGCUUGCGGGGUUUCCGUGGGAGUGGGACCCUCUGAGCGAGACCACUUGGCUCCCUGGCUACAGCCCCCUUUCCACAGAAGUGGACAUUUCUCCUGCCUCACUGGAGUUCCAGGUGCUGCUGGAGUAUGUAAAAACUCCUGCAGCUCAGUGCCUGCCCAAACAGCCGCCGACGGGAGCAGCUGUCAUUGGUCUGCCCAGUUUUGUAUUUGAGACCCAGGGCACUGGUGGUUGUAGGCUCCCGAGGGGAUCUGCUGAUCUGUGGAUUGCAAAAAUCUGUGGGAAAAGCUUAGUACCCUUGGUGGGUAGCACUGUCCCUCACCACUUCCCUUGGCUGUGGGAGGGAGGUCCCCCUGCCCUGUGCAGUUCCUGGGUGAAGCAAUACCCUGCUUCUUCUCGCUCUCUGUGGGUCAUGCCGACCAUCUAGUCAGUCCCAGUGAGAUGAACUGGGUAUCUCAGUUGGAAAUGCAGAAAUCACCCACCUUCCUCGUUCCUCUCGCUGGCAGCUGCAGACCAGAGCUGCUUCUAGUCGGCCGUCUUGGCCCCUCCCCGCCGAGGUAAGUUUAAUAAGUCUUCUAAAUUUGUCCUUGCCGUAAUGAUCAGUGAUGAUCUGUCUUUUAAUAAGUUAAAUGCUUUCCAGACUUCAAGACUCUCACCCACAUCAAAAAUAAAAUUAUAUAUCGGCCAUAUUACCAGGAUUUUAGAAUGUUGUAUUUUAUCCUCUAAUUAUAGGUCAAAUAACUAAGGUAGAAAGGAGUAAAGCAACUUCCAUGUAUGUAGUGAGGAUGUUGGGGGGUCUAGGACUAAAAUUCUGCCUUGGGAUUCCCAAGAGGUUGGUGAUUAUGAUUUUUGUACUCUUAGAAACAAAAUAAAAUAACAUUCUGUUUUGUUC